Molecule: transfer RNA, 18 nt
Filed under: Etmopterus sp. B Last & Stevens, 1994 (bristled lanternshark)
Lineage: Eukaryota; Metazoa; Chordata; Chondrichthyes; Squaliformes; Etmopteridae
Description: partial tRNA-Phe
Source: RNAcentral
UAAAAAUUUCCGCGAGCA